UUUUAUUCAAAUAAUAUAAAAAAUAAAAUAUAUAUAUUGACAUGGAUUAAACAAAGAUAUAUAUUAUUCUAUGUUGUAUAAACAAAUUGGCAGAAUAGAGAUGGAAGAUAAAAAUAUGGUCAAAGUAAUAAGAGUCUAUGGUGAAUGCCUAGGAGCUUUAAGGCGAAGAAGGUCGUGGUAAGCUGCGAAAAGCUUGGGGGAGAAGCAAACAUUUAUUGAUCCCAAGAUUACCGAAUGGAGUAAUCCAGCUAGCAAGAUGCUAGCUAUCUAUUAUUUAAAUAAUAGAGGCGAUACC
RNAcentral lists this unclassified non-coding RNA (295 nucleotides) under uncultured Borreliella sp. Its description in RNAcentral is "partial 5S-23S intergenic spacer". The stretch from base 118 to 295 matches the Rfam family "Bacterial large subunit ribosomal RNA", at positions 1 to 186 of the family's 2925-position model. The record is from RNAcentral. Lineage: Bacteria; Pseudomonadati; Spirochaetota; Spirochaetia; Spirochaetales; Borreliaceae.